CCCCUAGAUGUUCUGGGCCGCACGCGCGCUACACUGAACAGUUCAACAAGUCUUAACCUUGGCCGAUAGGUCUGGGUAAUCUUUGAACGCUGUUCGUGAUUGGGAUAGAGUUUUGCAACUAUUAGUCUUGAACGAGGAAUUCCUCGUAAGCACGAGUCAUCAGCUUGUGCUGAUUACGUCCCUGCCCUUUGUACACACCGCCCGUCGCUCCUACCGAUUGGGUGCUCCGGUGAAUUGUUUGGACUGCUGUCAGUCUUUUUGGCUGUCGGCGAGAAGCUCUGUGAACCUUAGCACCUAGAGGAAGGAGAAGUCGUAACA
Molecule: ribosomal RNA, 318 nt
Filed under: uncultured eukaryote
Lineage: Eukaryota
Description: partial 18S ribosomal RNA
Rfam family: Eukaryotic small subunit ribosomal RNA
Source: RNAcentral